Molecule: ribosomal RNA, 495 nt
Filed under: uncultured bacterium
Lineage: Bacteria
Description: partial 16S ribosomal RNA
Rfam family: Bacterial small subunit ribosomal RNA
Source: RNAcentral
GAUGAACGCUGGCGGCGUGCCUAAUACAUGCAAGUAGAACGCUGAAGGAGGAGCUUGCUCUUCUGGAUGAGUUGCGAACGGGUGAGUAACGCGUAGGUAACCUGCCUGGUAGCGGGGGAUAACUAUUGGAAACGAUAGCUAAUACCGCAUGACAACAGUUAUUGCAUGAUAACUGUUUAAAAGGGGCAACUGCUCCACUACCAGAUGGACCUGCGUUGUAUUAGCUAGUUGGUGAGGUAACGGCUCACCAAGGCGACGAUACAUAGCCGACCUGAGAGGGGGAUCGGCCACACUGGGACUGAGACACGGCCCAGACUCCUGCGGGAGGCAGCAGUAGGGAAUCUUCGGCAAUGGACGGAAGUCUGACCGAGCAACGCCGCGUGAGUGAAGAAGGUUUUCGGAUCGUAAAGCUCUGUUGUAAGAGAAGAACGAGUGUGAGAGUGGAAAGUUCACACUGUGACGGUAUCUUACCAGAAAGGGACGGCUAACUACGUG